AAAUGGUUUUACAACUCGGCAUUCAUGUUGUUGUUUUUCUUUGUGCAAGAAUUUUUUAUGGGGUGUCGUCCAAUCUUGACUCUUUUUCACUCAAAUUCACAUUAAUGCAUGAGUCUAUUUCUAAGGCAAGUGCUUAUUCUUCAUUUGUCUAUAUAUUUUUUCUUCAUUUUUUUUUCGGUAGAAGCAGAUGUUUCUACACAGUUUUUCUUUUUUCUUUUUCUUGCACUUGCCCUUUUUCAACAUUUCUUCUAAGGAUUAAUACCCCAAACUUAUCUUUUUGCACAAAUUUUAC
This 292-nucleotide long non-coding RNA is filed under the name Lathyrus oleraceus (garden pea). RNAcentral's name for it is "Pisum sativum (pea) long non-coding RNA (PSAT_LNC031025)". The record is from RNAcentral. Lineage: Eukaryota; Viridiplantae; Streptophyta; Magnoliopsida; Fabales; Fabaceae.